Molecule: long non-coding RNA, 8994 nt
Filed under: Olea europaea subsp. europaea
Lineage: Eukaryota; Viridiplantae; Streptophyta; Magnoliopsida; Lamiales; Oleaceae
Source: RNAcentral
AAAAAAAUGAAAAAAAGAAAGAAGGAAAGAAAAUGACAGAGGAAGCAACAAAGAAACCAAUACCUUUGCUUUUUUCUCCGAUCAAUUAUUGUCUCCGCGUGAAUUGAUAAUUGACCCCACCAUUGUCAGCACUUGUAGACAGCUUUCUCAGUUUGUGAAACGACCACCACAACUUGAAAAUUUCCUUUCAUUUCUAUUCAAGAAGUUAAACUCUCUUUCAUUCUAUCUUUCAUCUAUUGUUUCCUUUCUUAAGAAAAAGAUAACAAUGGCUAUCGGAGAAGUUUUUAUUGGCGCACUAAUUACUGUUUUGCUUGAGAAGUUGGUCUCUGGCGAGCUAAUGAAAUUCCUGCAUGGUGUAGGAAUCGACUCCCAGCUGAAAGAAUGGCGUAAGAAAUUGUUGAUGAUGGAAGCAGUGCUUACUGAUGCUGAAAACAAACAAACAACAAACGGAGCUGUGAAGGAGUGGCUGAAGGAUCUGGAGGAUUUGGCUUAUGAUCUGGAUGACUUAGUGGAUGAGUUGAACACUGAAGCUACCCGGCGCAAAAUAAAGGAAAAUCACGAAGCCAACAGGCCAAGCACUAGUAUGGUACGGAAGCUUAUUCCUUCUUGUUGUACUAAUUUCUCUUUCCAUGAUUUUAUGUCUGAUCGCGGGAUGGCUUCCAAGCUGAAUGAAAUUAGUGGUCGAUUGGAAGAUCUAUUCAAACAGAUUAGUAUACUCAGUUUGGUCGAGAAUGUGAGAGGGAGGCCUUAUAGAACAACAGAAAGAUUGGAUCUGACUUCAGUUGUUGAAGAAUCUGGAGUAUAUGGCAGGGAAAAAGACAGAGAGACUAUAAUCAAUAUGUUGUUGGGGGGAGAAUCAAGUGAUAUUCCAAUAUCUGUGAUUCCAAUAGUGGGCAUGGGAGGUGUCGGCAAAACAACUCUUGCACAACUUGUGUACAAUGAUGAUCGAUUAAAGGACGAAUUUGAUCUGAAGGCGUGGGCUUGCGUUUCAGAUCAAUUUGAUGCUUCAACGGUUACAAAAACCAUUCUUAAACAGGUUUCCCCUGGAAGGUAUGACGAUCAUGAUUUUAACACGCUUCAGGUGAAACUAAAGCAAAAUCUGUCAAACAAGAAAUUUCUGUUAGUUUUAGAUGAUGUUUGGAACGAAUAUUAUGAAUAUUGGGACAUCCUGAAGCAUCCAUUCCUGGCUAGCAAACUUGGAAGCAAAAUCAUCGUAACAACUCGUCAGCGUUCGGUGGCGAAAAUCAUGUCUCAUAGUCCAGCUUAUGAUUUGAAUGUGUUGUCGGGUACUGAUGCUUUAUCAUUGUUAGCUCAACAUGCACUUGAAGCCAAAACUUUUGAUGCACGUCCAGAUCUAAGAGAUAUUGGUAAGGCCGUGGUGGAAAAAUGUGGAAACUUGCCACUGGCACUAAAGGCACUUGGAGGGCUUCUGCGGACAAUGGGUAGUCCUAAUGAAUGGGAGGAUGUAUUGAAUAGUGAGAAUUGGAUGGCAGAAGACAAAAGUAAAAUUCUUCCUUCUUUAAAACUGAGUUACCAAUAUCUGCGUCCACAACUGAAAAGAUGCUUUGCUUAUUGUGCUCUGUUUCCUAAAGACUUCGAGUUUGACAAGUCCAAGCUAGUGUACCUUUGGAUAGCAGAAGGUUUUUUACAAGUAUCACAAAGAGAGAUGCUAACACAAGUAGGCAGUAAAUAUUUCGACGAACUGUUUGCGAGAUCAUUCUUCCAAAGAUCAAGUGCCAAUGCUUCAUAUUAUGUGAUGCAUGAUCUCCUUAACGAUCUAGCUACAUUUGUUGAUGGAGAAAAAUGUUUGAGGAUGGACGAUGAGUUGAAGGAAAAUCUUCCCAGCAGCAUAUCUGGAAAUGUCCGUCACUUGUCAUUCAUUCCCCAUCAAUAUGAAAUGUACCAAAGAUUUAAUUUUCUGAAGAAAGUUCGAAGCUUAAGAACAUUUUUACGCUUACCGUGUCCGCGGUGGUAUCCUGAAAGAUUCUUUCCCGACAAAGUUUCGGUUGAAAUAUUGCCGAAAUUGCACUGCUUAAGAGUUCUAUCAUUAAGUGGUUAUACGAUAUAUGAGUUGCCAAAUUCUAUUGGUGAUUUAAAACAUCUACGGUACCUAGACCUAGCUGAAACUUUAUUGAAGUGCUUGCCUGAAUCUGUGAGCAACCUUAUCAAUUUACAAGUGUUGAUUCUAAGAGGAUGCUACAAACUUACAAAAUUACCUGCCAGCAUGGAAAACCUCAUUAAUCUUUUCUAUCUGGACAUUGCUGGUACUCGUGAAUUAAAUGAGAUGCCUCAAGGAAUCGCUCAACUAAAAAGUUUGCAGACAUUACCCAAGAUGAUUGUGAGCAAAAGCAGUGGGAUGAGGUUAAAGGAUUUGGGGAAUCUAUCACUUCUACAAGGUAAAAUUUCUAUUGAGGAAUUGCAAAAUGUGGUAAAUGUUCAGGAAGCAAUUGACGCAAGACUAACGUCUAAUCCAAGCCUUAACGAAGUAAGGUUGGCAUGGAAUGGCGAGUUUGGUGAUUCCCGAAAUGAAAUUCUAGAAUUUGACGUGCUUAAUGCUUUAGAGCCUCAUUAUAACUUAAAAAGUCUUGAAAUUGAUUGUUAUGGAGGUUCAAAAUUCUCUAAUUGGAUUGGAGAUUUAUCAUUCAGUAAGUUGGAAAAGAUAAGCUUCAGUUUUUGUGGAAAUUGCAUUACUUUACCAUCAUUAGGGCAACUACCUUCCCUAAGAGAAUUGAGCAUUAGAUGGAUGGAUCGAAUAAAAGUGAUAGGAGCCGAAUUUUAUGGAGAUAAAGGCCUUUUUCCAGAGCUAGAGAGGCUGACUAUUGAGGACAUGCUAGAUUGGGCGGAAUGGCUUGGAUUAACACAUGAAGUAGAAGGUGUUGUCAGAUUUCCUCAGCUCUCUAAAUUGUGCAUACAACGAUGUCCCAAAUUGGUCAAGAUACCGAUUCCCUCACUGCCAUCCCUUUGUGAAUUGAGCAUUGGAGGGAUGGAUCGAGUAAAAGUGAUAGGAGCUGAAUUUUAUGGAGAUAAGGGCCCUUUUCCAGCGCUAGAGAGGCUGACUAUUGAGGACAUGCCAAAUUGGGAGGAAUGGCUUGGAUUAACACAUGAAGUAGAAGGUGUUAUCAGAUUUCCUCAGCUCUCUAAAUUGUGCAUACGAAAAUGUCCAAAAUUGGUCAAGUUACCAAUUCUCUCAUUGCCAUCCCUUCGUGAACUAAAAGUGAAAGCGUGUAAUGAGGUGGUGCUAAGUCACAUGCACAAUUUGGAAUCUUUAACCCAAUUAAAUUUGGAGAAAAUUUUCAGAUUGACUUCAGUUUCAAAAGCAUUUAUGCAGUUUCCUUUUGCACUUGAAAAUUUGGAAGUUUGUGAUUGUAACGACCUUGAGACUCUAUGGCCAAGUGAUCGUAUUGCUCAAAGCCUAGUCAACCUACGACGGCUGUCUGUUAACACGUGUCCUAAGCUCUUGACCCUUAGAGACAUUGAUGCUCUUCCAGUUCUUAGAGACCUUCGCAUACUGAAAUGUGAAUCUCUAGAGUUUGUUCCCAAUAGCAUAUCUUGUCUAAAAAGUUUAGAAAUCAGGAAUUGUUCCUCAUUGAAGACCAUGAUGAAGCUACAGGAUUGCAACACCUCACUUGAAUUUCUUUCGGUCGAAAUGAGGGUGAAUUUUAAUUUGACAAAUUUACUGGGAUCAGUUCACAAUUACACAAGUCUCCAUCGGCUACAUAUAUAUUUCUGUGAUGGUCUGGAGUCGUUUCCCCCUGGAGGCUUGCCCACUCCCAAUUUGAAAUGUCUUUUUACACAUGAUUGUCAACAAUUGAAGUCCUUACCGGAUCGGAUGGAACUAAUUUCAUCACUUGAAAGCUUGUUAGUAACGCGUUGUCCUUUAUUAGUAGAGCCCUUUCCCCAAAGGAAAUUUCCUCCAAAUCUGACGGAUCUUUCAUUCUGUAAUUGUGGGAAUCUAAAACCCCUGGGGGAGUGGGGCUUACACAAAAUCACCUCUCUUGAAAUAUUCCAAUUGAGUCUUUGCUAUCAAGAGCUGAUUUCCUUCUCUAAUGACGACAAUGAUGAUGAUAACAACCAUUUGCUUCCUCCAUCUAUAAGGAAAUUGAACUUGUUUGACUUUCCCAAUCUAGAAAGUCUAACAAAGGGCUUCCAAAACCUCACAUCACUUCGGCAUUUAUGGAUCUCCAGAUGUCCAAAACUUGUGGCGUUGCCUAUGGAAGACCAGCUCGACAGGCUUUGGAGUCUUCAUAUUGAUAAGUGCCCGCUUCUUAAAAAACGGUGUUUGAAGAACGAAGGAGACUACUGGAAAAUCAUCGCUGACAUUCCCGACAUUGAAAUUGAUUAGCGUUCCGUCCAUGAUCCAGAUCAAUGAUCAUGAAACCCUCAAGUAACAUAUACAAUUUGCUGAAACAAACAACACAAUUUCGACUUUCCAGAAGAAAUUAUAUCACGCGGUUAGUGUAGUAACUGCGGUUUCUUUAGCAAAUUAUUUGUUAAUUUUUUAGGAAAAUGCAUAUUUAUCAUAUAAUGAUGUAUAGUAAUUGAUAAUUAUACGUGACACAUUGUUUUAUUUCCAGUUCAUUGGAUAAUAAAUUUGAGAUGUUUUUAAUGAGAAACAUUUCACUUUAAAAUUUUUGUCAAGAACAAAGUGUGAUUGAUUCAGAUCAACGUCCAAUUUUGACUUUCCAAAAUAAACUGUAUCACCAGUUAGUGUAGUAAUUGCUGUUUCUUUAGGAAAUUAUUUGUUAAUUUUUCAGAAAUAUGCAUGUUUAUCAUAUAAUAAUGCAUGGUAAGUGAUAAUCAUGUGACACAUUGCUUUAUUUCCAGUUUAUUGGAUUCUAAAUUUGAUAUGUUUUUAAUGAGAAACAUUUCACUUUUAAAUUGUUUUGAAGCUUUUAUGUAGAACUCCAACUCCAAGUGUGUCAAGUUCAAUUAUUCAUUAUAUGCUUAGUUAAACGAAUGACUGUGACAUAGCCUACUUAGCUAGCUAUAAUCACGCAUAAACGUUUUACUUAAUCCAUUUCCUUUAUCCUAUGUUGUCAUAUAAUUCUGCUCAAACUCUGUUUUCCAGUUAGUUCCUACUGAAUUCUAUAUACUUUGUUACAGAAAUCAAUCAACUAAAAUUACUUUGUUACAGAAAUCAAUCAUUAUUAUUUUUCUCUCUUUAGUAGGAAACACAUACAAUUUAUGCACUCUCUCGUUGAGGUUUAUUAGUUGAUAAGUUUAUUUGCAAUACUUAUUAUCGUUUCUUGAUUUUGUGCAGUCUUUUCAUCAUUAGAAGCUCCAUGCUCGUUUAGAUGCAAAAACUUGAUGUUUCCGCUGGAAAGAGAAGCAAAAGUGAGAAUUCUAAUCCUCUUAUGAACACCUGAUUACUGUCUGACCGUCCAUUGCCAAACAAGUCGGAGGUUCGCAGAUUGAUUGUAUGAGCUCAUUAUUUCUUAAUCAUUAUUCUGUUCAUCGGUAUGCAAUUUACGAUUACCUGAGAAUGAAAUACUUUUAAUCUAAACUACUAUGUUCAUAUGGCAGUAGGGACUUCGCAGAUUGGUUGCUUCUUCUCUUUGGAUUCUGUAAUUGCAGAAAGCCAGGCAGAGGGACAAUAAACGUUUGUUAACUCUAAUGGGGAAAGUAAGUACAUACGAAACGUAUGCUAUUUUUCAUACAGCAAUAUUUUUUUCUUUUCAAAAAGAAUUGACGCUCUCUUUUUCUAUGGCCAGUUCUAAUUGAUGUGGAAUAUGAGCAAUUGGUCUUGAAAAAGGAGCAAACGACUUCGGUAAACCAUGUCUACCUUUACUAUUAUCUUUUAUCUCCUAUUUAUCAGUAUGCAAACAUUAUUCUUAUUCUUUUCAGCAAAUUAUGAGGGACAAACUUAACAUCAAGAGAAUUCUGGUGCUACUGAUUGUAUGGUUUCUUGCUUCUUCAAGUUUUCAAGGCAAGUAAAUUGCAUCUCUUUCCUUUCUAAACUUGUAUAACAUUGUGUUCAAGACAGUAAAUUGUUGCUAAGAAAAUCCCGUUAAAAUUUAGGGCCCAUUUGGGAGUAAUUUUAAAAAAGAUCACUGGACUGGAGCAAUGACUUGUUAGAGAGUGUUUUUACUAUCUUAUGAAUUGUUGGUACAUAUGACGAAUUUUUUGGUACUGUUUUAUUUUACUUCUUGAUUGGAAAUAUAGAAAGCUGUUGAAUAUAAUAUUUGACUAUAAAUAUUUGACCAUAUCUAAUAGUUUAAAUUUUUAGAUCAAAUGGUUUAACGAGGUAUUAGAGUAGGCAAAAGUCCCAGGUUCAAGUCUCACCACCAGCCAUUCAUUAAAAUUGUGCCCAUGUAAGGCUUUACUGAAAAGAAGAUAAUCUUGCUUACACGUGAGAUGGCGUGAUGAAAAUAAUAUUUAAAUGAUAAACAUUUGAUUAUUUCUAACAGUUUAAACUUUUAGAUCAAAUGCUUCAACAAUACUCCUGCCUUGUGAUUUUAUUGUUUUUGACACUGACAUGUUCUUCUUCCUCAAAAAGAACAAUUCUUGAAUGGCAAACUAACAUGUUUUUUUCUCAUUACCCAAAUUAUGCAUUCACCAAAGAUAUUAAAUGAAGAAAUAGACUAGGAUUAGUUUGAAUCAAUUUUGAUUUAUUUCUAUCCAUUUCGAAGCAGAAAAUUUUUCAUCUAUUUACUGUGGUUAACUUUUAAUGUUUACUGUGGAUUCGAAGUAUAAAAAAUAGGACUAAUAUUAUUGAAUAUGCAGACCAUUUGAGUGAUAUUAAAUUACUCCUUACAAGUAUUCUCUCUCUUCUUUCUCUCACCCAUUAUGCAUCAAAUGAUGGUAAGAAUAUUCCUUUAAUAGAUGAAUUUGUCUAGUGGAACAUAAUGGAGUGUACCGAUGUACACCUCACUCACAUGGGUGUGGGACCCAUGUGAAAGAAAUAAUAUUUUAUUCGAGUGGGUCUCUCACCCAUAUGAGUGGGGUGUACACCAUUAGGUACAUCCCGAUAUGCCACUAGCAAAACCGUUAAUAGAUAACCGUUCUAUAAAAGUUCAUUACUAUAUAAGCUAUAUAGGACAUGAAAUUUUUUGCAAGUAGACCCUCAAAUUGAUUUACCACCUGGCUCUAAUUUUCCGUUUAGCAUUUUGUAUAUAAGAGGAAUAUCAUAUUUAUUAUGUUACUCCUUCUAUUUAAAUUAGGGAAAAUUGUAGCAAUGGUCCAUAACCUUUCUUUUUUUUUUUAGCAAACAUUAUCCUGACCUUCAAGUUUUUGUCAGUCGAGGCCUCCAACCUUUGAAAAAUUUGCACCUGAGGUCCAAAUUUGGCCAUUAGUUGACCCGGAAUAUCUAAAAAUUGGAUAUUUUGACCAUUUAAGUAGGACAUUUUCGACAGUCUCAUAAUAACUUUAGAUUUUUUAAUAAAAACACAUUUAUAUAAUAAGGAAUAAUCUUUUUAAAAAAAAAAAAAUCAAAACUAACUUCUUCNNNNNNNNCCCCCCCCCCCCCCCCAAAAAAAAAAUCAAACAAACUAGUAACAUUGUGUUUUCAUUUUAUUUAUGCUGAUCAGUGAAUAUGAAUGUUGGUCUACAGAAUGAUUUGACAGCUUGUACUCCAAUGUACCGAGUUUCAUGACUGGCCCAACUAACAAAUUAGUAAUCCACAUCGCGCUUUGUAUAUCUUUUGUUGUAAGCUCCAGUUGGCUAAUUUGGAUCCUAUUUAGCGGUUACAUCAGCUGGAUUUCAUGGCUUGCUGUUUUACAUCAUAUUUGACAUAAACAUUGUUUCUGUUAUUACACAGUUAACAAGAGAGGGCAGCACGGCGAACCAUCAUCUAGCGACACUUUUUUCUUCGAGUGUCGAGCAACUCUGGGAACAUUUAUUGUCAGUUGAAGCCAAUGUUGUUGAUAAGUGUAUAUAACCUAUCUAUAUUGCUCGAGUAUCUGCUGAUUUUUGACAUUUCUUUAUGUCUUAGGGGUGGUCCCGAGCUUCGAAAACACGUGGGCGAAUAAUGGAGCAAAAAUUAGUGUUAAACACCGAAAGAGGAGCAAUUUGGAGAGCAGCAUGGGAAGAUUCAUGAAUUUCCAUUUGGCAUAUAAUAUAUUAUGGGAAAGAUCAUCCAAUCUGGAGUCUAACGCAAAAAGAUGGGUUGCAAAUCAGAGUUGUAGAUAAAAUGUCAUGCGAAACUGAAGUUGGACUGCAGAGACGAGUACAAGCACUGUCGGUGUAAGGUGGUGGUGCGAGUUGAAGCAUCACUGGUUCAAGUUAGCGGCACCAAACUUCGUGGAUGGUCUCAGGGUGGUGAUUCUGGUGUUUUGGGCACAAAUUUCAAGCAAAUCUAACCCUACGAUGGAUAUCUCCACUCAAUUUGCUUAUUACUUAAAUGAUGUGUAACUAAACUCAUUUGUUAGGAUAAUUGGAGUAACCCAAUUUUGAAGAUUGGCUCCGACAAUGUAUAAAGUGCAUCUCUUUACCAACACUAGAGUAUCUACCCUUGUGUUAGAGACUUGAGCAUGAAUCAAUUAAAAGUAAUUAUAGAGGAGUUUUAUGGAAAUAUGUGUUGGGGAGAAUUACCAUCCAAAUCACUGGAGACUCUAUUUUUUAGGACAUGACAGAAUGGGAGGAAUGGCUUGGAUUAAAACUUGAAGUGCAUGGGGAAAUUAAAUUCCUCAAGAUGUAUUGCAUAAAGGAACGUCCCAAAUUGAUAAAGAUUCCAAAAUUGUUAUUUCUAUUUGUGAACUAUAAGUAGAAGGGUGUGGUGAAGAUGUGUUAAAUGGUAUGCACAAUUUAACCACCCCAACCAAUUUAAAAUUGAAGAAUAUAGUUGGUAUGACUUCAAUUAACAAUGCAUUCAUGCGACUUGAAAAUUUUGAAAAGUGAUGAUUGUAAGGACCUAGUGACUUUUUGGUCAAAUGAUAAUAUUGUGCAAAGCCUAGUCAACCUACUAACAUUCGAGGUUAAAUGAUGUCCUCAGCUUUCAUCUAUUGUAGAAAUUGGUGUUCUUCCUACAAUUGAUCAUCUCCGUGUAAGGAAUUGUGC